AAAAAAAAAUAUAUAAAAUCUUAUACAAACUUGAUUUAUUUUUGGUUUAUCAAUAAUGAAGAAAAAUGGACCUACGAAGUAGAAUGGCCAUCAAGGGUCCUUAUUAUUACUCGCUGCUUGCUAACAAGUACCCAACAAAUGAAGAGUAGACAGACUUUGUACUCUUUCCUUUUCUAAUAUUUCGGCACUUAUCUGUCAACAAUAUUUCAGCAUUUACGUACACACACACAC
RNAcentral lists this long non-coding RNA (231 nucleotides) under Capsella grandiflora. Its description in RNAcentral is "long non-coding RNA (CGRA_LNC000693)". Lineage: Eukaryota; Viridiplantae; Streptophyta; Magnoliopsida; Brassicales; Brassicaceae. The record is from RNAcentral.